ACCGCAAGGCCUUGCGCUCUUUGAGCGGCCGAUGUCAGAUUAGCUAGUUGGUGAGGUAAAGGCUUACCAAGGCGACGAUCUGUAGCGGGUCUGAGAGGAUGAUCCGCCACACUGGAACUGAGACACGGUCCAGACUCCUACGGGAGGCAGCAGUGGGGAAUUUUGGACAAUGGGGGCAACCCUGAUCCAGCCAUGCCGCGUGAGUGAAGAAGGCCUUCGGGUUGUAAAGCUCCUUCGGCCGGGAAGAAAUCGCAUGGGUUAAUACCCUGUGCGGAUGACGGUACCGGCAUAAGAAGCACCGGCUAACUACGUG
Molecule: ribosomal RNA, 313 nt
Filed under: uncultured bacterium
Lineage: Bacteria
Description: bacterial SSU rRNA
Rfam family: Bacterial small subunit ribosomal RNA
Source: RNAcentral